UCUGGGUGUGGUGGUGCCCACCUGUAGUCCCAGCUGCUCGGGAGGCUGAGGCAGGAGGAUCGCUUGAGCCCAGGAGGUCUGCAGUGAGCCGUGAUUGCACCACUGCACUCCAGCCUGGGUGACAGAGUGAGACCUUGUCUCUA
This is an unclassified non-coding RNA of Pongo abelii (Sumatran orangutan), 143 nucleotides long. It matches the Rfam family "Metazoan signal recognition particle RNA". Rfam says of the family: The signal recognition particle (SRP) is a universally conserved ribonucleoprotein. It is involved in the co-translational targeting of proteins to membranes. The record is from Ensembl. NCBI's taxonomy places the organism in Eukaryota, Metazoa, Chordata, Mammalia, Primates, Hominidae.